This 468-nucleotide ribosomal RNA is filed under the name uncultured bacterium. RNAcentral's name for it is "partial 16S ribosomal RNA". It matches the Rfam family "Bacterial small subunit ribosomal RNA", at positions 28 to 507 of the family's 1533-position model. The record is from RNAcentral.
GACGAACGCUGGCGGCGUGCUUAACACAUGCAAGUCGAACGGAAAGGCCCUGCUUUUGUGGGGUGCUCGAGUGGCGAACGGGUGAGUAACACGUGAGUAACCUGCCCUUGACUUUGGGAUAACUUCAGGAAACUGGGGCUAAUACCGGAUAGGAGCUCCUGCUGCAUGGGGGGGGUUGGAAAGUUUCGGCGGUUGGGGAUGGACUCGCGGCUUAUCAGCUUGUUGGUGGGGGAGUGGCUUACCAAGGCUUUGACGGGUAGCCGGCCUGAGAGGGUGACCGGCCACAUUGGGACUGAGGUACGGCCCAGACUGCUACGGGAGGCAGCAGUGGAGAAUAUUGCACAAUGGGCGGAAGCCUGAUGCAGCAACGCCGCGUGCGGGAUGACGGCCUUCGGGUUGUAAACAGCUUUCGCCUGUGACGAAGCGUGAGUGACGGUAAUGGGUAAAGAAGCACCGGCUAACUACGUG